Molecule: transfer RNA, 64 nt
Filed under: Potamiscus yongshengensis
Lineage: Eukaryota; Metazoa; Arthropoda; Malacostraca; Decapoda; Potamidae
Description: tRNA-Ser
Rfam family: tRNA
About the family: Transfer RNA (tRNA) molecules are approximately 80 nucleotides in length. Their secondary structure includes four short double-helical elements and three loops (D, anti-codon, and T loops). Further hydrogen bonds mediate the characteristic L-shaped molecular structure. tRNAs have two regions of fundamental functional importance: the anti-codon, which is responsible for specific mRNA codon recognition, and the 3' end, to which the tRNAs corresponding amino acid is attached (by aminoacyl-tRNA synthetases). tRNAs cope with the degeneracy of the genetic code in two manners: having more than one tRNA (with a specific anti-codon) for a particular amino acid; and 'wobble' base-pairing, i.e. permitting non-standard base-pairing at the 3rd anti-codon position.
Source: RNAcentral
GGUUAUUUAGUUUAAAAAAAACAAAUGUUUUGAAAACAUUAAAUAAAGAUAUCUUUAAUAAUCA